GGAUGUGAGGGCGAUCUGGCUGACAUUUGUCACCCCAUUGAUGGCCAAGCUUGAUUCGGUUGAUCUGGCUGGCUAGGAGGGCGUCCCCUUCCUCCCUCACUGCUCCUUGUGCUUCCCUCCCAAAGCUGUGCACUCGGUCAAAGAAUAGUGCCUUCCCUGAAUAGAGACAGAACGGUCUCUAUUGUAGGUUCUUGCUCUCCCCGGCUGGAACCUCCAAACAAGCUCUCAAGGAAGAGAAAAAUGAAUACUGGAUGACUCCACAUGUAGGUGAAACAGCAGACAGACUUAGAAAAUGAGAACACUGGGGGGGCCCCCGCAGU
This 320-nucleotide small nuclear RNA is filed under the name Erinaceus europaeus (western European hedgehog). RNAcentral describes it as "7SK RNA (ENSEEUG00000021702.1)". The stretch from base 1 to 269 matches the Rfam family "7SK RNA". From Rfam's summary of the family: 7SK was discovered as an abundant small nuclear RNA in the mid-70s but a possible function has only recently been suggested. Two independent studies have found that 7SK RNA binds the CDK9/cyclin T complex (known as elongation factor P-TEFb). P-TEFb activates transcription by phosphorylating the C-terminal domain of RNA polymerase II. Lineage: Eukaryota; Metazoa; Chordata; Mammalia; Eulipotyphla; Erinaceidae. The record is from Rfam by way of RNAcentral.